AGCUGGUUCUCCAGGUCUCAUCGGUCGCCUCGACCCUGCUAUUGGUAAGCUCUCUGAUUUGACUGAGUUCUCUGUUGUACCAGGCCGGAUCAUUGGUUCACUGCCACAAUCCCUCUCCCAAUUGAAGGACCUCCGCUUUCUCGCCGUCAGCAGAAACUUCCUCUCUAGUGGGAUUCCGGCAACUCUAGGCAUGCUGCGCAAUCUCAGAACCCUUGAUCUCAGCUACAAUCAGCUCACCGGAGAGAUUCCUAACUCAAUCGGUACCAUACCGGAACUGGCAAAUGUCAUUCUGUGCCAUAACCGCCUCUCUGGAUGGGUCCCUCCAUUUCUCUCGCAGUCACUGACUCGGCUCGAUUUGAAACAUAACGAUCUCACUGGUUCGCUCGGACCAUCUUCUCUCCCUCCGUCGCUUCAUUAUCUUUCUCUUUCAUGGAAUCGGCUCAGCGGACCCGUGGACCGGAUACUGAACCGGCUAGACCAGCUAAACUACUUGGACCUAAGCAUGAACCAGUUCAGUGGUGGCAUUCCGGGCCGGAUCUUCACGUUUCCAAUAACCAACCUUCAAUUGCAGAGAAAUCUAUUCACCGGUCCGCUUCAACCGCCCAAUCAGGUUACAAUAGAGACUGUUGAUCUUAGCUACAACAGAUUAUGGGGUGAAAUCUCACCCAUGUUCUCUACCGUACAGAAUUUGUACCUGAACAAUAAUCGGUUUACGGGUCAAGUACCUGGAAGUUUCGUGGACCGUUUGUUGGCCGCGAGUAUACAGAUAUUGUACUUGCAGCACAAUUAUCUAACAGGGAUUGAUAUUAAUCCAGCGGCUCAGAUUCCAUCAAGCAGCUCGUUGUGUUUGCAGUAUAAUUGUAUGGUCCCGCCCGUACAGACGCCGUGCCCUUUGAAGGCCGGGAAGCAGAAGACUAGACCAACAGAACAGUGCAACGAGUGGAAAGGGUAAAGUUGGAAUUUCACAGGCUUUAAAUGAGGGCAAAAAUGGGAGUACGUUCAUUUUUUUGGGGGGGGUUUUGGGUUGUUUUCCUUAUUCAUUGAUUUAAUAUAUAUUUUUUUUAAUGCAAUCUUAAUCAAGGUGAAUGAUAAAUAAGGAAUAUUUGUGGAUAAUGUGAUGAGAAAUUGUAUUUAUUUGUGGGAUUCAAUUGAGAAUUCAAUGUUGCUAUUAAGUAAUAUAUAUAUAUAUAUAAGAUUUUUUUUGGGCAAAAAA
Molecule: unclassified non-coding RNA, 1213 nt
Filed under: Hevea brasiliensis (rubber tree)
Lineage: Eukaryota; Viridiplantae; Streptophyta; Magnoliopsida; Malpighiales; Euphorbiaceae
Source: RNAcentral